RNAcentral lists this long non-coding RNA (32263 nucleotides) under Setaria viridis. Its description in RNAcentral is "long non-coding RNA (SVIR_LNC005935)". Lineage: Eukaryota; Viridiplantae; Streptophyta; Magnoliopsida; Poales; Poaceae. The record is from RNAcentral.
GCACGGAGCAAGGGGCACUCUCACAGACGAAUGUCUACUUGCUUCGCUGGGUUGAGCAUCGUCGCAAGCCUCGGCACCCCCAAGCCGUCCUCCGCCUCCGCACGCCCCAGGCUCAUCAGGAACGCGCCCGUCUUCGCCGCCGCCACCGCCGUCGUGGUACGUACGUGCAUGCAUCGAUCAAUAAUGCAUGGGCAUGGGCUCACUACUGUACCGCACUGCACCGACCACAUUGUACAUGCAUGCAUGUCUAUCCACUUUCUCUUUUCAGUGACCAUGAGCCUGAGCUGUGUAACUAACAAGUUGGCACGUGUCCAUGUCCUUGCUAUUAUCGGCACGUCACACGGCUCUUCACGAAAUGCACUACUGCAAAAAGCAAAAGCCUCCCUUGUCCCUUCCCACAAUCUCGGAGGUUGGUAGCGUACAGACCAGGACUUUCUGAAACGAAACAGAAUCCAAGUGCCACGCGAGUGUGCAAAACGGACCACACGGUCAACUAAUGAUGCACCUUGCAUUGCCACCUUUGGUUAAUUCUUCAAGCUCAAACCACACUUUUCCUGCUACAGAAACAUACGUGUGCCAUUGCCCUCAAUAACAAUAGAUUUUUUCCUUAAAAAAUAAACGUUCGUGUCUUUUCCUAAGAGCAUGGAGGCGCCGCACUGUUCCGUUGUACCAAGAGCCAAUAACAAGGCCCAGUCUGCAAAUGCGGCACGCCAUAACCCAUAACCUCAUGUUCUACCCCUCCGUUUCUAUUUAUAAGGCAUGACAUAACUUAGCACAGUCUUCCAAAUUACACUUUGACCAUUCAUUUAUCUUAUAUCAUAUUAUUUAUGGUUAUAAACUUAUGAUCAUUGUAAAGUUUAUUUAAUUACGCAUCCAACCAUAUAAAUUUUAUAUUAUAAAAAUAAAAAAUUGGUAGUUAAAUUGCUAGUUAAAGGUUGUAAAGUUUGAAUCUAGAUAUGUGCAUGCCCCUUACACAUAAAAUUUCAUUUCAACCAAUCAUUGCAUAGUAGUAUAUACCAGGUCAUACUUUUUCUCCUGCUAAUCUAAUCAUUUCCCCGUCCACCAGUAGCAACAUCAACAUGCAUGUCAACCACUGCACCCCGCAAUAGAAUAGUCGGGAAGGGAGGGGGUUUCCAAAGAGGUGGCCAAUGAUGGUGCUAGUUUAAAGGCCACAGCUAGAUAGAUGCUUUGGAAAGAAUAUAUAUAAUUCCCCAAAAGUCUCAAGUUUCAGGGAAGAAAGAUGCAAGUACACUUGCUUAGGCGUGUAAUGGGUGGCCUUUUCCCUAAACAAAGCGAUAAGGUGGGGAGUAGGGUCGUCAGUGGACUCGUUGCAUGAUGAUAGCAACUCCACACAAAACAGUUAAACAGAAGAUGUGGAGAGCUAGCCCCCAUCCGUCUUUUGGCUUUUCAGUUCCGUUUUGAACCAUCACGCAUCAAGAAAUCCAAUAACCGACCAUCUAUCAAUUUAAGCUUUAUAGUGCGCGUCAACGUUAGCUUUUUCUCUUUAGUAACGCCCAUGAUUUCCCGCGUUGCUUUUGCUCACUGUUGAGUUUUUUGCAGACAGAGCAACGAACUACCCACCAAGAGAUUCCUUGCAACUUCACAAAAGAAAAAAAAAAUCUUCCUUUUCAUCAGUAUCUGGGAGGGGGGAAAGAACUUUGCUACGUAUUGAACCGGUGGAAAAAAAAAGGUUACAGUUCUCUGUGGUAAACUGGCAGUACUUAGUACUAGUAGUAACCAAGUUUGUUAGCGCUAGGCAGUAGGAGGAGCCCAGAUUUUCGUUGCCUUCACCUCAUCACGCUGAUGCGAGGCGCACGGCUUGACACCGAUCGCACCAUGACUCGGGUGGUGCAUGCAGUCCAAACCUGUCGUAGGCUAUAGCGGCUGCCAUUAGAUAUGCACUAGAUACACGCGAAAAGGAAAUAGUAGAAUAGCUAGCCCCAAAGGGAACCUCAUCCCUUCGAUGGUUGAGCAAGCAACCGUUGCAUGUGGAGUAUAUUUAAAAGUUCACGAUUAGUGCUAGUGGUUCCUCAUUAGUAGACCGUCAUGAUGAUCGAUGAGUAAGCACGGCAGCCUAACAUACCGGAUUAGGAGGGCGCAUCAGGGGGACAAGGUCUCGAUGAGCUGAGCUCGACUGCAAGAUCAGUCUCCAAUAAUUUAGGAGCUGGUCCGUGGUCCGGGCGGUUGGCACUGGUGAAGGGAGUAAUUUAGGCGAGCCGAUAAGGAAGAUUCGGUCCCCAAGGCCGUGCCAUUGGUGCCCCGUCGUCCGGCGAUGCGACGAGCUAAAACGACCUCUUCUCUGAGAGUGAUUACCCCAUGGGGAAGUAGAGUAGCAGCCCCGUAGGCAGGCAGAUGGCAGUCUGGCAGAUCUGGGUGAGUGGGCAUCGAGAUUCCUUGGUUGUGGGAAACAACCCCUGGGGAAACGUUUUCUCGAUCGGGGUGUGGGGGAGGCAGCAAAAAGGAAAGGUUCCCGCAGCCAGCAACCUGGCCGUGGCCGGCGCCACUUGUGCUUUCGCUCUCCGUACCCGCAGCUGUGCCUCCCAUCGCAGAGCGUCAUCUGCCCAGUAGCAUAUGGUCAACUGGUCCCUCCAGCCUUGGCCUCAGCAGAUGACGAGUGCCCGUUUACCUCUUGAGCUCCUGGCCGAACUUUUCAGUCCGAAUGACUCUUGGGGUUGCCUGACCUUUUUCGUACACCAAUAAACAUUUUUUCUUCUAGAGCACCUGAUUUCAUCGGCUCAACUCAAAAGCAGAGUUGAGCACACGCGUCCGCGUCACAUACAGAUCACGGGCGCCUAAGAAUUAAUUCAACGACAAAAAGGGGAUAAGGCUGUUGCCGUUCCGUCCACAGAAGCCGCACUCACUCCCCCAUUACCAUUACUACUGCUGAUUUUUCUCCUGCACGCUCUCGCUCACGCUAUUAUUGCACGUGUCAUGUUGCUAGUAAGCCGACGAACGAGAAGCUCAUCAAAAAGUCAGACGAGAGAGAGGCGAGGAGUAGUAGCAUCCAAGCCGGCCGGCCAUAGGAAGAGGAGAAGAUGAGCGGGUGCCUUUGCCUCCCUAAAAAGAAGGAGGGGGUCUCCGCAGCGAAGCAGUCCAUAAAUUCCCCCGCCUCGUCACUCCUCCAGAACCAGAAGCCCACCCAACCUCCACCUCCUCCUUCCAAGAAGGUCCGUUCCCCUCCUCCCUUCUCCGUCCUUCCUCCUGCAGUAAUCCCCAUCCAUCCGUCACUCUUCUUUUUCCUCUCUUGCCCCCAUCGCUCAGUAGCACAGCGGCUGCAGCUGCCCUUUUCUUCACCCCCUUUGUGCUGCUGCAAAGCAGAUCCCUGCAUGGCUGCAUCCCUAUCCCCAUUUUAGAUCACCUUUGCGCAUGCUCCCUUGUGGUCUGUGCGCAAGGAGGCCAGAAAAUUUCUUCUUGUCCCUGUCCCUCUCCCUCUCUCCCUCUCUCUCUCUCUCUCUCGAACUGCAUCACCAGCAUACAGGGUAGUGCCUUGGUGGGGAUGGCUAACUGACGAUUUGUGUCUGAUCUUUGGUUGCAGGGCAUGGACGCCGUCGAGCGCUUGAAGAGCGGGUUUGACAAGUUCAAGACCGAUGUCUAUGAGUAAGUCACCAUCAAUUGCCCCGCGUUCGAUUUCAGUUUCAUGGCGCUUGAUUUGCUUCGAGAAUUUUGGGACCUCCCACUGACGACCCUGCUUUGCCCCCCGUGGAAUUUCCUCCUCGCAGCAAGAAGCCGGAGCUGUUCGAGCCGCUCAAGGAGGGCCAGGCACCCAGGGUAUGUGCUUCCUUCUCCGCCCUAUCUCAUCACCCUUGUAGACUGCUAAGAUUUUUGUCUGGAGCGGCUCCGGCCGGCUGGAAUCCUCGUCAGAAAUCAUGGAAAGCUUAAUUUAGCCAAACCGCGUUCAGUAACUUGGGUUCCCGUGGGGUCCGGGCAACGCCUGGUUGGCUGGCCCACAGAUUUGGUAGUACCUAGUACGUCCUGGUUGCCCAGGCGUCCAGUUAGAAGCAAGCUCUGAACAGUGUCGCUGGUACUAGCUCACCAUCAGGAUCCCUGCAUUACAUUCUCGUUUGCAUCUCCCAGGCAACCCUGCUGCCAUCCGUUACUGUUUCAUUUGCCGAGGUCAGAGUCGUGGUAGACAAGCGGAAACGGCUUGUCCUAAUUGCAUGACUUAACACUGACGGGGACAGCUUGUCUCCAUUAGCGGCCAGUGGCCCGUGAUCAGGUUGGAGAAACUGAAACUGUUCUUGUUGGACGAGCCUGCUCCACGGGGCACAGCCUUUUCAACUGUGCAGAGAGAGAUUGUAGUGGAUAGCAACCACCCAGGCACUAAAACAUGCGCACGGCGAGUGCAUCCCCAUGUGCAGGCCAUGUUGGUGAUUUGGGCGUUGGCCUUGUAAAUUAUUGAGAGAGAUGUCGCCGUCCCUGUAUAGGCUCACUUUCUGGACUGGUGGUGGGUGAUGAUGGAUAUAGUAUAGUCUUAUUUCCUUCUCGUUCCUAGUAUAAACCUGCUGCCAGAAUCUCGCAAGUACAGAGUUUUAUUGUUUUCUUUAUGGGGGUUCUUGGCUGGCAUCGAUCCCAUGCGCCUAAUUACUCCAUGCAUGCUGUAGUUAGCUGGUUCCAGGCCCAAGUAGUCUAGUAAUUUUAUUUGCAAAAAAAAGUGGUUGGCGUCUUAAUCGGUCUGUGGGAAACUAAGAACUAGCAACUAGCCGUGUUGAAUUCAAAGUUCAGACUAGUUGAAUUUUGUCAAGGUCUCCUGCAUCGUUUUUUUUUUUUUUUUGGGGGGGGGGGGGGGGGGGGGGGGGGGGGGGGGAGUAUAGUGCUCUAGUCCAUCAUUACACUAUAUGGUGGUGGUGAGUAGGCAUUUCAGAUGUCUCAUCGUUUUGAAAGUUCUUUUUGACGCUGCACAAAUCAUACACUAAAAAGUGACGUGAGCUCCAAGUUUCCAUGGCUAUGAAUAGAAUGGAAAUGCAAGGUGAGCCAUGCCCACAUAGACAGGUGAUAGGUCCAGGAUCCCAUCAUUCCAUGGCUAAACGUGUGGUCCAGCCAUGAUUGAGCACAGGCCCUACCUGGCAGCUAGCAACCUGUCCUGUGGCUGUGGCGCACUGGUUCCUCACCUCAUAGAAUUCGUUCUUCAUCAGCAUGUAGAAGAGUAGUUGGUUUGAGCGUGUCCUCUAUUCCCAGCCAUUGCGAAAAGUUAGGGGCAUAAACAUUGGCCAGUGCAUGUUGCUUUAGCCUUCAGAACAUUUGUGUAUUCGCAUCCAUAUCUCACUGGCCAUGCUGAUCCUUGAAAUAUAUGCUAUACUAGACACGUCUCAAAGUGUAUAAAGAGCAGAAGAUGAUUGCAUCACGCCAUGCCCCUUGCCCCCUUUCCAAACCCUGGCCUCCCAAGUGUGAGCUAAUCCAAAUAGGAACGAGGUUCCUUUUCCUAAUCAUCCAUGGACAUCGUGUCCGUCCAUCCAUUGUGGCUGCUCUUGUCACCAAGCUCAAUCUGCAGUGUGGAUUUGGCAGUUUUGAUCCGGCCUUUUGCAUGCAAAUUGUUCUCGGUUCAUGCAUGCAGGCUCGCCUUUUGCGUGUCAACUUGCCCGGAAAUAUUCUUGCUUUACGCUUGCGGCUUCCUCGCCGGGAAUGGGAUCACGUUUUGUUUCUGGCCCGUUGAUCGCCCCGGGAGCCACAUGAAAGUCGGCGUAGAAUAUCCUCGUUUCGAGUAGUAGCAGGGAACCUUCCUGCUUGGCUUUUGUCCAUCCUGCCCCCCUGGUAAAAAGUGGCUCGGAACAGAGACAACCAGGAAAUUUUUCAAAAACAGAGACAGCCAGGUCAAAAGCGGUAGCCUUUUUCGAGCGCAGUGGUACCAGCAUGCAAUCCAGCAGAGCCACCAGAAUCGUGUACUCCACCGAUCAGCGCCGAUCUGCCUACCUGCUUAUCGAUAAGAGCCGUGGGGGGCGUGAGAUGUCCAUUAGCGAUAAGACUGAUUAAGCGUGCUCUUUUCGUUAACCUGAUGCUUGAUUUUUCUUCUCUUUUGUUAAUGAUGCUGAUUUCCCCCUUUUGUCAACGCUAUGCUGCAGUACAUGGUGUUUGCCUGCUCCGACUCCCGUUGCUGCCCGUCGGUGACCCUGGGCCUGCAGCCCGGCGAGGCCUUCACCGUCCGCAACAUCGCCGCCAUGGUCCCACCUUACGACAAGGUAAACACUGUCUGACUGACUGACGCAUGGACAUCUGUGUUUUUUCUUUUGUUUGGCCGGCCAUGACCACUGGUGUGUCUUUGCCUGUCGACUGCUGCGUGCGCAGACCAAGUACACCGGCAUUGGGUCCGCCAUCGAGUACGCCGUCUGCGCCCUCAAGGUGGAGGUCCUCACCGUCAUCGGCCACAGCCGCUGCGGUGGCAUCAAGGCGCUCCUCUCCAUGAAGGACGGCGCACCUGACAACUUGUAAGUAACGGUGGAAUUAAGUUACAGCUUUGGAUCGAGGAACCUAUCCUGCAGCUUGGUGUUUCUGACUCGAGUACUAUCUCUUUAAUCAGCCACUUCGUCGAGGACUGGGUCAGGAUCGGCUUCCUCGCCAAGAAGAAGGUGCUGACCAACCAUGCCUCGGUUCCGUUCGAUGACCAGUGCACCCUCUUGGAGAAGGUAUGUUUGAGCUACUCAAUUACCAUGGCGAUCUUACUUUCCCAUACAGUAGCAGUGUUUGCAGUGCCAAUUGCAUCUACACGUGUGUACUGCCUGGUCUGCAUGAAUAUCGAAUUGGUUUGCUCAUGAAAGGAUCCUGCAUUUCUGAAUAUUUUUGCAGGAGGCCGUCAACGUGUCCCUCUACAACCUCCUGACCUACCCCUGGGUGAAGGAAGGUGUGGCCAACGGGACACUCAAGCUGGUCGGCGGCCACUACGACUUCGUCAACGGGGUGUUCUCCGUGUGGGAGAAAUAAGCCACCCGGUUUAUUCAUCAUACAUACAUACCGAAAUAAUGCAUCCAAUCGAUGUGAAUGCAUGAGUACUUACUACCUAUUUUCGGCCGCUACAUAUAUAUCAGAUCGGCCGAUGUGAAUGUAAUAAGAUAUAGCAUUUUCUACCGCUUUACGACUUCUAUGUACUAUAUGAUGCGUAAUUUGGCCGCCUUGUGGUCAAAAGACAUCAGCUAUGUAUAAGCCGUUUUACUACCAUGGCUAUGUAUAAUUUCAUAAUAUUUUCGUCAAGAGUUUACCUUUUACUACCCCUUCAUGUUGGCUUCUUUGUCUGUCCCCUUCCUGGUUGCUGAUGCAGUAUUUUUAUGUGAUAACAAGAAUAAUUUUGUAUGCAUUAGUAGCUUAACUCAAGAUAUUAUAUAUUCCUCGGUAGAGGGAGUAUCAUUAUGACUACACUUUAUGCUGGAAAAUGCACGUCUUGAAGAAGAAAGUCAAUAUUACAAUGUAAAGGAACGGUAAACUAGAAUAAUGCCAUAGUUUUCCCCCUCCUCCUUUCCUUUUAAGGCUAAAAGCCUUAACCACUGUACAUACAUUCUUUUUCACAUGUAUAUACAAAAAUAUGAAUAGGGGCCUCUCCUGCCGUUCCCUAAAAAAAAUGAUCCUAAAUAAUAACUAAGCUGCUUCAUUACUUCAAAAAAACUUCUUCAGACAUUUCUUAAUGCAAAAUCAUUAAGAACAAUAUCAAGAUCAAUGCUAUACAUGAAAGUAAAUAAUUGUUACUGGAUUUCAAUGUCUAAAACUAAAGAUCUAACAUACUAAAUGAAUGAUUAAUGAAUUAACAAAUAAGUCAAUAAUUCACGCGCGAUGAUGGACGACAAUUCGGCGUCAGAUGUACUUGAUGUUGCCGGCGUUGAGUCGAGGAUGAGAUUGAUGUGUUGAUCGCUGACGCCUGAGCCGCGUAGGGCUUGCAGAUUGGGCCUCAAGGGGUCGGGCUGUCGGGGAUAGCAGAUUCGUUGUGAGCUGUGAUUGUGACACAGUCACGCAGAACGGCCGCCACCCGGCCCCCUCGUCUCCUCGAUUGCGGCGGCGAAUAGACGAAAGAGGAUUCAUCUUCGUGCGCAUGCCUCCUGACUGCCUGCAUGCUGAGAGCGCUGCGCGGCCGGACUCUCCAGCCUAGAGGCCUGCUCAACAGGGGUCUUUUUUUUUUUCAGCAAGUUACCGAGGGGUAUCCUGAGGUAGUAGAUUGGUUGGUAGGGGAUCGUCGGAUCUGAAACUCGAACGUAAAAGUGAGGACACAACACACCGAUUUAUACAGGUUUGGCCGCCAAAGUAGUGUAAUACCCUACGUUCUAUUUGGGGUGUUGUAUAUUGCGCCCUACGUUUGAGUAUUGUUUGGUGUUGAGGAUUUUGUCCUCUGUUGUGGUUCUAUGAGCUCUUCGCCUACCGAUCUAGGAACCCCUACCCUCCUUUAUAUAAUCCAGGGGGGAUUACUAGUCGGUUAUAAGGAAGAGUCCUAGUAGGAUUACAGCGUAUGAGUCUUAGUAGGAUUAUAGGGGAAUCCUAAUAGGAGUCCGUCUUCUUCCUUCCUUGCGGGUACUGGGGAUUUAUCCUCGACAAGCUCCCGAGCGCUUCAUAGUCAAAUGCAGUAGUCUUCGAGUACUUUUCAGAUCCUCGCUGAGUAGUUUUAGUGCUCCUCAAGUACUUUAUCUGGUUAAAUCUUCAAAGUUCCUCAAAACUGUCAUGAGUCUAUGGGUUGCUCAAGCCCUUGAUCGACUUGAUUUUAUAAUCUUCAUUGUGACAUGUAGGGCGGCGAAAGUUGCACUCCAUAUGAAGUAGCCCCUGAGCCUUAGGUUAAAUCGAAAAAGUAGGCUGAAGGUUAAUAAAAUCUUAAAUCUUCUUCUUUCAUCUUGAAAAAUCAACUGUUAGGUGUAGCUUAUCAGCCCCCGAGCCUUGAAAUGAUUAAAUAAUUAAUUCAAGGGUCUUUAGUCUUCACGCAAGUCGUCUUUCGAGUAGUCAUUUGGUGUCCAGCCCCCAAGCUUAUGUGCCAAGUAAGCCAUAGGAGCCACGUCGAUUAGUUAUUUGGCGCUUAGGCUCCGAGCUUGGAAACUAGUUGAGCCAUUGAAGAUAUUUCGAGUAGUAAUUGGUGCUUAGCCCCCAAGCCUGGGAACCAUUGGAGGUACGGUGAACGUCCUAGAGAGUCGUCGUCGAAGUUUGACCUGCAAAAAGAGAUGCAUACAUUAUGUAGCAUAUUGUAGAAUUUGGAACUACUGAAAUUUAUUCAGUGAUGAAUAUAAUGUAAAUGUUGUGUGUCAUGUUCUUGUUUCGGCCAUAUUUUUCCCGAGUAGCUAUUCUAUUACGUUUAGGCUCUCAGUCCCUAUUUAACUAUUGCCACUGCGUGUGAGAUCUUUGUCUCCUGUACGUGUAUUGGCACUGCUGCUACGCGUUUGAAAUCUUUGUCCGUGUACGUGUCCUAGCGUUUAGGCAUGACAAAAGAUUCGAGAUUUUCACGAAUUAAGGCGUGUUCUGCUCGAGAAGAUUAACAACCGCUAAGACAAGACAUUUAAAAUAAGUAGUCGGUAUUGCAAUAAAAAAAUUGCAUGAUUGCGCGUAAAGUAGUCAUUGAGACUUUUCUACCUUUUUGGCGAGGAGAGCGCGUGUUUGCCGCAUAUAGAAUUUGUGCCUCACUAGGGUGUAGCCGUUGUGAGCCUCCAGCACUUAGUGCACCAAACUUCGUGGCAGAACCUCCUAAUUCAGUGUACCAAGCCUGUGGUGAAGCUUUCGGAACUCGGUGCACCAAACCCGUGGCGGUAGCCUACAUAAUUCGGUGUACCAAGCCCAUAGCUGUCGGGCAACAUGCCCCAGGAAUAAUUGGCAAGUGUAGCUCUGGAGGGUAAUUUCCGUCAAGAGUCGUACGCAAAAAAGUACUCAGCACGUUGCCCUGCAUGCGGAAAACAAUCCAGAAAAGUUAUAUGAAAUAAUUAAAAAAGUGACUUAGCUUGAUUUGUGGACGAUUGUCAACAAAGCCAUGUCGAUUGUUGAUGAAGCCAACUAGUCGGAGUCGAUUCCGACUAGUUGUUGAUCGCGUGGAACCCGCCCUCGACUAGUUUUGUAGUUGAGAUGAGUAGUUGAAGUAGACCGUCCUCGACUAGUUUUCUAGUCGAGACAAGUAGUCGAAGUAGUCGUCGGCGACUUGAUGCGGCCGGAUGUCGGGGUAGCGGUGCUCGCGUACGUCUUCUAUGUACGUUAGGUUAUGAUUUUGAGAUCUUGUGGUAGCCUUUCAUGUGCGUGUAGCACAAAUCCCUCAAAGUUGCUUUUCACGGAGAGUACUCGGAGCUGAUUAUUUGCCUCACUCUGCGCGUGAUUGUAACAGAUCUUUGUCAUUUGGGGAAUUAUGACGUGGGUCCCUCGAUCUGCCUAAUCUCUCAACUCGAAUCGGAUUUGCCUCUACCUUGAUCGAAGAGCCGCAUGCCUACGGCGGAAACCGACUCGGUUUUCGACUAGAACGCGGAGCGCAUCGAUUCUGUGUCGGCGUAGAUUUGUCUGGUCGGAACUCCAACUCGGCAAUUUACUUCCUGUUGUGUAGAUUGAUCUUGAUGAUGAGGUCCUUCAAGCUCGCCCGAUGAUCUCGACGAUCACCCCUACCUAGCGCGCCAAAUGUCGGUGUUUUAUACCCGGCAACAUACCAAGGGGUUUCCUGAGGUAGUAGAUUGGUUGGCGAGGGAUCGUCGGACCUGGAACGCGAAGGUAAAAACGAGGACACAAGACGCAGAUUUAUACAUGUUCAGGCCGCCAGAGUAGCGUAAUACCCUACGUCCUGUUUGGGGUGUUGUAUAUUGCGCUCUGCGCUUGGGUGUUGUUUGGUGUGGAGGAUUUGGUCAUCUGUUGUGGUUCUAUGAGGUAUUCGCCUAUCGAUCUAGGGACCCUGCCCUCCUUUAUAUACUUCAGGAGGCGGGAUUACUAGUCGGUUAUGAGGAGUCCUAGUAGGAUUACAGGGUAUGAGUUAUAAGAAGUCCUAAUAGGAUUAUAGGGUGUGAGUCAUAGUAGGAUUAUAUGAGAAUUCUAGUAGGAAUCCGGAUCUAUCCCGACACCCUCCUAGCAUGAGCCCCUCGCCGUGGCUUCUGAUGCAUAGGGCUAAAGCUGGGCCUUUGUGGGGCACGGCGAUGGCGUGGCUUUGAUGAAUCAAGGAAGCGGCGGAGGAUGGGUAGAAAUUCCAAUAUUUAACACCCAAUACGCUCUCACUGAAUUUGAUAACUAAUUUGUAGGCCUUUUAUUUGAAAUUUGACACCGGGCUACGAAUCUGGUGUUUCUCCUCCCUUUUGUCUUCACUUUUUUUAAGAAAAAUCAAACAAAGGUACUAAUAAUUUUUUUCAAGCUUACCAUUCCGGGAAAAAAAAAGGAAAAAUCUAGAGUGUCGUAUCCUGGGUACAUAGUUUACCUGUGCCUGCUGUUCAGUCCAGCCUACCGCUUUCCCUCUGCUCGUCCCCGCCGGCUCCGCCACCGGCACACGUCGCGACUCGCGAUCCCUGCCCACCGCGCCGUUUAUUACCCCAUCUCUCUCGAGUCUCCAUCAUGCUCCUUGUACUCGUUUCCCGGCAGCCGGAUGGCACCCCAGCCCCGGCGCCACGCGCGCCCGCGCCUGCCCGGAGCUCCCAUCAGCCGGAGGUCAAGGCGAAGGCUUGGACCUUUGGGAGCUCGGUGGGUUAGUGGUGUACGUGUGUACCUGUCCAUCUGUCCGGUACAAGAACACGUCCCGGUCUGGACUGGUUCGCCGUUUCACGCAUCCAUCCGUCCAGCUGCACGACCGUCGACCGCCCGAGGAGGGGAGCAGGCCGGAAAAGAAGGUGAGCCGCUGCUUCCCGUGCCUCCCCCUCCUAUAAAAGGACCCCCAGGGAGGCAUGGACGGGGCAGCAGCUCUACAGCGAACCAAGCCUUUCUUCUACAGUCUUCUCAAAUCCUCGAGAACCAGAGGUCCACCCACCUUCUCCUCCACCGCACAAAGGUCAAUCCCCCUCCCUCCUCCAUCCAUCCUCCAUGCAUCGGACCAUCUUCUUUUCCUUUAUAGGCUAGUCACUCACGAUUCGCAUGAUUCUCUCUCUCUCCUCCUCAAGAAAUCCCGCAUCAGGCGAUCCUGUUGUGGACGCAUGGUACGGUAGUGCUCACGACAUGAUCUGUGGUUCUUGCAGGCCAUGGCGGACGCCGUCGAGCGCUUGAAGACCGGGUUCGAGCAGUUCAAGGCCGAUGUCUACGAGUAAGUAAUCCGAGCCGCUAGCUAUUUUCUGAAGCCUUCUGCUCCAUGAUUCAUGCAUGGUGACGGUGCGGAGUGAAUUGACCUUCUGACGAUCUGUCUCCUGUCGGCAGCAAGAAGCCGGAGCUGUUCGAGCCGCUCAAGGCCCACCAGUCCCCCAAGGUAUGCGCUGUCAUGUCCUCCGAUAAUCCUUGUGGAGUAGCGAAAUGUUCCGUCCUGCGUGUUCUUGUUAUACUCGCCAGAAAUUUCCGAAGCUGUAGCCAGUUUCUGAAUCCGGUAGAUUUUGCAAAGUCUCGCGGGGAUCUGGAUUGGCAACCAUCUCCUAGUAUCACAUCGGGAAUCACGGGUCCCCAUUUGCCACCUACCCUGCCGUUGUCCGUUGAUCUAGCGGCCCUAUCCGCGUACAACGCCGGCGUGCGUGUGUGCACACAGCAUUUGGUCUGGGUCAAAGUUGACAAAAUGGGAAAGAAAAAAUAAGUGAUAGAAGUCUGCUCUAAUACGUAUGCUAGAAUAAAGAAGUUCAUAAAUAGUAGUAUAUAGCUAUACCAGCUGUAAGAAAUUAAGAACACUACAUAUAUGGCAUCUAAAUAUACUUAUAGAUGGACCAACAUAAAAAAAAAUAUCAGAUAGAUACGUAGUACUCCCUCUCCCCGUUCCAAAUUAUAAGUCGUUUUGGCUUUCUAGGUGCAUAGUUGCUAUGCACCUAGAUAUUGUGCAUGUCUAGAUGCAUAAUAAUAUAUAUGAAUCUAGAAAAGCCGAAAGGACCUAUAAUUUGGAAUUUGGAAACAUUUAAUCUUAUCUAGUUAAUUUAUACAUUUUUAAAUAAAGAAAAUGUUUCCAAAAAAAAGUUAGAAAUGCUUAGCCGAAAAUAAUCUUAAUUAAAUAGACAUGUUGUGAUGGGAGGAGUAGUAUAAAAGAACACAGUUUGAUGUGGACUCUAAACUGUAUGACUGGAAAUGUUGAAUGCUCCAAGUUGCGCCCCGAACUAAAGAUUCCAUACGUUUUCUAGCCACGGUCCAUCUUGUCUUCACUCGCAAGUAAAGUAGGCACGAACGAAAGGCCAGGCUCCUGUUGCUGUUAAUCAGCUCCUAUCACCCGCGUUUGCCCCUUUGGUGGGAGCUAGGAAGAGGCUGAGAGCAAUGGCCGUCAGGUCAAAAGUAGCAGCCUUUGUUUUCGUAUCGCACACGUACACACUCUACCGACGCUGAAUGUUCUUCUCUGCCGCUGAUGGUUGGCCUGCAGUACAUGGUGUUCGCCUGCUCCGACUCCCGCGUGUGCCCGUCGGUGACCCUGGGCCUGCAGCCCGGCGAGGCCUUCGCUGUCCGCAACAUCGCCAGCAUGGUCCCACCCUACGACAAGGUACGCUUCCGCACGGACACACGCCUGCUAAUUCUGCCACAUGUCGCCGCCACUUGGCGGGCAUCGACGCCGCCUCGACAGCUGACGUGUCACUGCCUGUCGACUGCUGCGUGCGCAGACCAAGUACGCCGGCGUCGGGUCCGCCAUCGAGUACGCCGUCUGCGCCCUCAAGGUGGAGGUCAUCGUCGUCAUCGGCCACAGCUGCUGCGGCGGGAUCAAGGCGCUCCUCUCGCUCCAGGACGGCGAGGCCGACAAGUUGUAAGCGACUGAAAAGAAGAUUCAGAAAACGAUGGCGUUGAAACUGAAUUAUAUGUGUAUCUUAUUGCAUCGUUAUUGUUUGACUCGAGCAUGUAUGUUCUCUCUGUUGUUUGAUUACCUGUUCAGCCACUUCGUCGAGGACUGGGUCAGGAUCGGCGCCCCCGCGAAGGCGAAGGUGCAGGCCGACCACGCCUCAGCUGCUUUCGAGGACCAAUGCUCCAUCUUGGAAAAGGUACGCUUUGAAUUGAAAGAUUUCUCUUGGAUCUUCAUCUUGAAGACUACGUAGCUCGAACGGAACGAUUUGCUCAUGGAGUGUUUUAUUGGAUUUCUGAAUACUUCAUCUUGCAGGAGGCCGUCAACGUGUCCCUUGAGAACCUCAAGACCUACCCGUUCGUCAAGGAAGGGCUGGAGAAGGGGACCCUCAAGCUGGUCGGCGGCCACUACGACUUCGUCUCCGGCAAGUUCGAGACAUGGGAACCCUAAGAGGCCAACCAGGCCAGUACACCAUAUACCUACAAAUAUGCUCCCGAUCGAUAUAUAUGACUGCGUGGAGCACAACUAAUUCGCCCCUAUACAGCCAUACCGUAUUGCUCUAUGUGGACUGUAAUAAGCGAUGCAAAUUUCUACCGUGGAGGAUUUAUUUGUUUUUUUUUUGUAAUGUAUGAUGCAUAAUUUGAUCGAUCUGUGGUCAAAAGACAUCAGCUAUAAUGAUCUUUUCAUUAAUAUUAUCAUGAAGAGAGAAAAUAGUUUACCUUUUUAUGCUACCUCUCUUGCUGUUCCCCAACUUUAAUUCUGACUCUUUCUUAAAUGUUGAUGACUUUUCUUUUGCCACGACGUGCUCUUGGGUUUAGCAAUUAUGUCCCUGAUUUCCACAGGAUGUAGCUGCCAACGUUGCAAUCCUGCUUUAUUGAAUAAAUCUCCUGCCAUUUGUCCUAAAAAAAAGUAUCUUUUUGGUUGAUUUGUUCAGAGAACACUGAAAACAACUUCAUACACUGCAUACGAAUCAAGAAACGUUAAAAACGAAAGCGAAAUACCAACAUCUUUGCAACAAGAUUUAUGAAACAAGACACAUACUUAAUAUGUUUUGAAGUUAUUUUAUACAAUUGUCAAUUUAUGUUGAUACCAGUUUAUUUACAAACUGUAUAUCAACUUAUAGCGUAUUUUGGAUGUAUCAAAUCCACUAGUUUAUCUAGAGGAAAAUAACGCAAGGACAAAUAGCAAGUUAUGCUACACAAUGCAAUAACUUGUACGUCUAUUACACCUUUAACUUCCACAACAAUUUCGUGUCAAUUUAUUAAUAUCAAAUUCGUAAAGAAUUUGUGACAACUUCUAUAUCCUUAAAACUUAUGCAACGAUAAUGCGACGACUUAUAUAGGGACAAUGUACCAAUUUAUGUAGAGAUAAUGUAGCGAUUUAUGUAGACACUUCAUAUACGUAAUAACAUCUUGUAAAAUUAUUUUUUAGCAAUUUAUUUAUAUAGUUUAUUAAUAAGUGACACAUGUGUAGCUACACACUUAAUACAUAUCUAACUACUGCACAUCAACAUAAGUUGCAAACACAUAAACACUUUUUUGAAAUAUAUGCAUCACGCAUAUAGUUUUAUAGAACUUAUCGCAAUGAAUAAGGUAGUGCAAACGGAAAUUCUAACAAGCACUCCAAGAUAAAAUUACCAUAUUUUAAAAAAUAUGAAUGCUUACUGAAAAACUCUAAUUUAGCAUCUCCACGCCGUGAUCCACUUCGACAUCUACCUCAGCCUAUGUGCAUGCUCAGUCCAAAUUGAAACAAAUUAUUGCGGAUCAAAUUAAUUGACAGUGGUGGUCCGUCAAAACCGGGUGCAUACCGUGCGGGGUCUGCUGGUUGGUAGCUUGGGUCAGGCCGCACGGCGUUGUGUGCUCCGUGGAUGCCUACCUGUCGCAUAGCCAUCUGUUGUGCGCAUAGGUAGGAGUGGAAUUCAACCCGGAAGCAAUUUGGCCCAUGAAGUGAAGAAGAAGCCGGCCCAUAUUCAUUGUUAACUGCUACUUUCACCUUUUGUGGAGGUAAAUGAGGUCCACUGUAAUAGACUUUUUCUUGUUUCCUUCCUCCUUCCUUUUUCCUUCUCUUUUUAUUUUUAUUUUUUCUAUCUUUUAUUUUCUUCUCAUUUUACUUUUAUUUUUGGUAAUAAUAACCUUUAUUACUUUUCUCAUAUUUAAUUUUUUAAAUCUACUUUUUCAUUUUUGCUUUUACUUUUUCGUUCUUAUUUUCUUUUCUUUUGGUAACACUAAGUUUUCCUUUUCUUUAUAAAAAAUUUUCUUUUAUUUUUCUAUAUAUUUAUCUUUUUUAUUUAUUUUUUCAUUUUAUUUCCCUUUUUUUCUUUUCAUUUCUGUACCACUAGCUAUGUCCUCCCUCCGUAUCAAAAUAUUUGUCGCUACUGAAUUUUUCUCACAACUUUUGACUAUUCUUAUUAUUCAAAAUUUAUUGCAAAUACGCGACAAGAUAAGUGAAGCUUAUAAUACAUUUGAUGGUAUUAUAAGUCACAAACAAAAUGAAUGAUACUUACAUAAUUUUUUGAAUAAGACAAAUGGUCAGCAACGAAUGGUAUUCGUAAUUUUACAUAAUGAAUGAGAAAGUCAGCAACCACAAAUAUUUCGAUACACAGGAAGUUUAUAAUUUUGUUCGUAUGUAAAAAAUAUUUUUCACGAUGUGUAUAAAAUUAUUUGUUCCCAUAUGGAGCCAUUUUAUAGAUUAAUUUAUUCAUGAUGUAGACUUAUUUAUUCAUUUUAUAGACUAAACUAAUCAAUUAUGUAGACUCAUAGAUUGUAUUAUCAUAUUUGUUCCAAGUGGACAAAGUUUUGUUCAGUGAGUUAAUAAUAAUUUGAUCAAGGUAUAUAAAUACUUAUUCUCUGAGUUUUCUACAAUUAUUUGAGGUAUAUAGAUCUUUUAUUUCAUCAUUUCAUAUAAUUUGUUUGAUGUAUAAAACUAUUUUGUUCCGCGAGUUCGUAUAAUUUAUUCCAUGUGUAUACAUAUUUAUUUUGUUAGUUUAUAUAAUCUGUUCAAUAUGUACAAUUAUUUUGUUCUUUAAGUUCGUCUCAGGCGUGCAUAUCUGAAAAAUUUGUCAACUUGAUGACUAUUUUGUGCGACACGGUUAAAGUUUUAAAUCUUUCAAUGUAAUAUACUAUUGUUUGUAUGUUUUUAUUCACAUCACAGAAUCAUUUAUUGUUGAUAUUUAAUAUUUUAUUUUUUAUAAUCAUUUGUUGAUCAUUUUGUUUCUACGAAAUAAUAGCUCAAUUAUUUGUUCAAUUAAUAUUUCAUAUUAAAAAAUAUUUUUAAAAAAAAUCAUCCAAAAAAAUAGUCAAUUGGGGUUUUAUUUUGAAGAUCCUACCCUAAUAAAUCUAUUGGUGUAAUCAGAAUUUAAUUUGGAUGUUUGGUUUGAGAUAUAUGAUUUUUUUUAGAUUUGAAACUGCUUGCAUGUGGUAUGCUGGUAUGAUGUCAUCGGUUUUGUAAUUUAUGCAUGCAUGCAACAGGAUGAAAACCAUAAUCGAAAUCUCAUUUACGUGGCACGUUUUCUAAUCAUUUCCGUAUAAGUGAUAUCAUUUCUGACCAUUACCGUAUUUAAAUAUGAAUUUUUAGGAUUUCUUUUAUUACUAGGUGUGUGCCCAUGCGUUGAUAUGGGCAUAACGAAUUUUCGCUAUGAGCAUUAAUAUCAUACAAAAUAUUUGUAAUGAUAUGGAGAUAGAUGCUGUUCUAUGUACAUAUUCCAAAAUAUGCAUACGAAUUACUAGGUAUCUUGCAUGUAAACACAAUAUAACUUGGUGGAAAUUCAUCAGCUUCCUUUCGCUCCACUUGGACUCCCUGUGCGCCUCUGUUGUCGGCCUGCUUCUAUCGCCUAGUCGCUGGUAAGGUAGUCUCACUGUAGCUUCACGUUGACGUGCUACCAGCGGCAACCUCCUCGACACCACAUCUUGCCACCAUAACAUCUGCAUCAUCGCCCCCUCCUAGCAUUUACUUAGAUCAUUAAGUCUGUUUCAUAUUAGAUCGACAAAUUCAUUCCAACAUGUUAGCAAUCUUAUUAGUAAGCACUCAAUAUUUUGCAAGCAUCAUGAUGGAAUGAAUUUAAUGCACGGCAUGAUCUGUUAUAGAAUGAAUUUAAUCUCCCUUUUUCAAAAGAUAGUGUCCCUUCUGAAUUAUAGGGAAGUCGUUGACCCUUUUAGUUACCAUUACCCAACUGGCAUGAAAUGAAUUUAGAGUUGUACCUUAAAAACCCAGCCCUAAAAUUUCUCUCUCUAACAUACCAGCUUUGGAAGUUUCAUCAACCUGCAAUACAUUAUAAAUACAUAAUGUGUGGCGUGUUUUUGGCACUCUAAAAAUCAGAACAUAAGCUCUUUUGUGGUCUAAGCUUGACAUGAUGCAUUAGAUAGGAGCAUGGCAGGAGCAGGGUGAAGAGCUAAUCCCAACGAUCAGCACACCACAAAUUCUCAAGCUGAAAAAUGCAAAAUAACUGAAAAAUAUGAGCUGUAUCCCCGGAAUUUUACAAAACUAGAACACCUAUAUAGUUCUAAGCACGAUUCUCCCAUCAGCUUAUCACCUUCUAUCUCGGCGUGGCAGGUCUCGUAGGCGCAAGGAAGGGAGCAUUGCAUCAGUAAAAGGAGUUGCAAGUGGAACUGGGUUACAUACGUGCAGACAGAUAACAAUAAGAAGGCCAUCCAUCAUACCUGCUGUGCAUCAUGAGCAACUUAAUCUCAGCAUGUCAAGAUUAUGCAGUGUUUUUAUGAAAAUCUGUGAGAGUGCAUCAUACACCUUUCAAUCGUAUUUCUUCUUCAGAAAAAUCUUAUAGGAGAAAUGUAUGCAGGAGUUUGCACGGUAGAUUGGCUGACAGUGUAACUGCAACGCAAAAAGGAGUUAUAAGCAAAGCGACAGUUUCAAGGAGACUUUCCCGCAAUAACAUUAUUGUUGCUACUGAAUAAUUAAAUAGUGAAAUCGGCAAAAUUCCCGAUCAAUUGCAAUAGUUUCCGUAGAUGUUUUCAUCCCAGGUCAUGCACUGGAACAGUGAGACUGUAGCAUGCGAUGGCUGUAUUUUUUUCAAGGAACAGGAGGGGUUACUGAUUAGAUAUAUAUUAAAAAAAUAAACUAAAUAAAGUUACAAAAUAACUUCUCCUAAGGGUCUGAAGAAAUAAAGAAAGAAACAAACUGGGCUGUAAUUUUGUUUCCUCUUGUAAUUGGUGGGCUGCUCAUCACAAUCUUUUCGGUGACAGUAGGCGGCAUGUAUACACGCCCCGCGCUCUCCAGGCAAGAGCGACUCCACGUGCUGUAACGUUUUCCAUUUUAGCCUCCCUUUGGCACGGCUCAUCGAGCAGCUUCUCAAGCGGCUUUUGAUGAAGCCGUGCCAAACGGCAUGAGCGAAAACGGCUUCAGGGGAGAAGCUCCCGAAAUCGCGCUGAGAUGAGCCAUCGCACGGUAUGAGAGCCAAAAAAAACUGGCUCCGAGAGCCAAAAAAAAUUGGCUCAUCACGGCUUCUCCUCCAUACAUGGACAUGCUGCCCCAAAGUACCCCUCCUCCUCGUACCUGGAGGGCGGCGGCGGCGACGCGCUCUCCUCCUCGUACCUGGAGGGCCAGGUCGGCGGGUUGGCGGCGGAGGGAGCCAGGGCGGUGGGGUGGCGGCAGAGGGGCGGUGGCGAAGGGAGCUGGGGCCGACGAGGUAGCAGCGGAGGGUCGGAGGAGGAGGGUCGGGGCGAAGGAGCGGGUGCCGUUCGGAUAAGGAGAGAGGAGGGGGGAAAGAAAAGAAGGGAAGAAGUCGAUCGGAUAAGGAGAGAGGAGGGGGAAAAAGAACAGGAGAAGGAAAAGAGAAAUAAAAAAGGAAAGAAAAAUGAUGAGAAAAUGAAAAUGAAAAGAGAAAAAAAUAUAAGGGUAGUUUGGAUAUUUGACAUCUCAUUUCCAAUCUAAAACGUUAGGAGAAGUUGUUUUGCCAAACGUUUUCCUACUAAAUAAGUCAGAGAAAAAAAGUUGAUUUUCCAAAUAAGGUAGAGUAACUAUUUUUUCACGUGUCAAAGUCGUGCCAAGCGGACCUAGAACCCACGUGGACGACGUCAUCGUCGAGGAAGGUGGGCCUCGGCCGAACCUAAGCCAGAUUCAUGCUUUCGUUCGUCGCUGCCCCGAUUUAAAGCUGCGGCGGGGCCUACGUGAUGAUCCUGAACUGAACUCGAAUCGCAAUCACCUUUUCAGUGCUUCGCAGUUCAUCCUCUACUCCUCUAGGGUUAAUAAAUUCCAAAUCGAAGCGAACAGGAAUACUACAGGAUAAGCUUCCCAUCCUGCCGAAUUCCAGCUCAUGAGUUCGGUUUCAUCCCGACCGAAACUGCAAGACCCUCUUCUCUUCCCCUGCGGUCCGCGGACAGUCCAACCCGAAUCAGGCAGAGGCAACGAGGCAUGAGCGCCCACCGCUCCAUCGAUCUAUCUAUCUAUCUCUCUCUCUCUCUCUCCCUCCUCGAGCGGCUCGCGAUCGGCGAUGGGGGGAUGCUGCUGCUGCUUCCUCGCUCACAAGCCGCCGCGGGAGAACCCGAUGCACUCGUCCCGGGAGCCGCUCAUCUGGAGCGGAUCGGGCGCUGCCGGCCACCACCACCACCCAGCUCAGAUGGUCACCUACAGCGAGGCCAGUCCCCGAUUGCUGCAAUUCUCGUGUCGCCCGGCAGCAUUGUGUUGUUUCCCUUUCCCCUUGUUGUCUGACGGCUGCUGCUGAUGCUGCUGUGUGCACUGCAGGGGUUGGGUGCUGCAGAGAGAUUGAGGGCUGGGUUCAGGACGUUUAAGAGGACUAUUUAUGAGUGAGUAUGAUCUGACGCUCGAGGAAUUCUGUUUCUGGGUUGAGUUUGUUCCUGAUUCAGUUCGUUCUUUUUUGGUGGUGGCUGUUGGCAGUAAGAACCCCAUGCUGUUCGGGCCGCUCAAGUCUGCUCAGUCCCCAAAGGUAUGCACCAUCAAAUUGAUGCAUGAAAAGCCCUACAUUUGGUUGUUCAAGUAUAUUUAGGGUGUGAUCAUGCAUAGUGUAUAUCUGUUAAGCCUAGCUCGCUGGUAGUUUUUGCAAGUAGAGUUUUUUUUCCUAAAAAAAUGGAACUGCCUGUUUGGUAGACGUGAAUAGUCUGCUAUUACUUCUGCUUGUUGGUUGUUCAACCCACACUGCUUGUCGUCAUAGAAAAAUCUAUUGAAGAGAGUCUGAUUAUUAUUUUUUAAAAAAAAACUCUAGGUGUUGAAUUAAUUAUGUUCUAGAAACCAAACUUAUGGUCUCAUGCUUCUGUCACUGUUUUAUAGUGAUGGCCGUUUAGGAAAUCUCAUCAAUUGAUGCUGCAUGAAAAAUCAAAAGCAGAAAUUAAUCUGAAAUUCUUCAGUUAAGAAGAAAUUUGUCUUUACAAGAAAGGGCAAUAUAGCUUACUUCAGUUUUGGGGCAGUUUGUGCUGGACCAGCACCAAUUUCUUCAAGCAAAAUAGGUUUCAAUGUCUCAUCAUAACAUAAAUGAGUUGUCCUGGGCAUGUCAGUCUAAAUAAAAUACGUGUACUUUAGAUAUAUUGCACUUUGCAUCCAUCCCACGGGGCCAAAUCACAAAGCAUGGUGAUCCUCGUGCUGCUCUUGUACAACAACAAGAGUUCCAAGUGAGAGCGACAAAAGCUGAUUAUCAUCUAAAAUGCAAUUUGUGUCCAUAUUUCCCCAUCACCUGGUAUCCAAGCUCUUUAUGUGUUAAGAAAACUCACUGUCUUGAGGAUCGAGGACAUGUUCUUGCGGUUGGAGCAAUUUGCAAAAGCUGGGCCUCCAAAUACACAACACAAAUACGCUUGUGAUAUAUCUGUAAGAUGAGGCAAAUUGGUCUUUUCUUUUCAAGCUCCCAUCAUACAUAUCUUUACAUAGAAUCCACUAGGCCAUGUGUUCCUAGGUUAGUUCGCGGUUCAUAUGAUUUCAUUAUUGUCAACAUAGGAGGCCUGCACUAGCUUAUUGUCUGGAGGUAACCUACUGUCUUUGUGAGGUGGAACUUGAAACCAGGAGCUCUAGCAGAAUAACCAAGGACCGUAACAAUUUGCAUACUUUUGAUUGGUAUCAGUACUAUAUUCAUUCAGGUUGGCACACUUCUGAUGAUGAGAAGGAAAUGCAUAAAAGCACAGCUUCAUGCUGUUUUGUGUCUUCUUAUUGGCAUUCCUGCUUGUUUUUCUUGCCCGUCUUUGUCAGACUUCAUUCCUUUACCAUGCAACAACUUUGAUUGAUUUUCUGAAUAUGUUAGGCAGGAGGGAACAUGGAUAGUUCCACUUUGUUCUCUUGCGCUCUUUUCAGCAAAAACUGUGCUUCUAUUAUACCAAGGGUCUUUUUUCUCUGGCUUAAUGGUUAAUCUGUUCUUGCUUGCAGUACAUGGUGUUUGCGUGCUCUGACUCUCGUGUAUGCCCAUCAGUGAUCCUCGACCUGAAACCAGGAGAUGCCUUUACUGUCCGUAACAUUGCCGGCCUUGUUCCGGCCUACCAUCAGGUUCAUGCUUGUGGAGAAUAUUUUUCACAUUUUAAUUUCGUGAACUAAUAACUUUGGCCUGCACAUUUGAAGGUAUAACCAACUAACUUGCAGAUUCAUGUCUGACCACAGAAUAUGCACUCCAGCGUUGCUUCAGCCAUUGAGUUUGCUGUGACCAUCCUCAAGGUGAACUUCCCCCGUUUGACUUAUAGCACUCUUCUCUCCAACUCUCCGAACAUCCAUUUAAGUUUGGGGUCAAUUUUGUCAGUGAAUUGUAAGAAAAACUAAACAAAUAGCACAUAUGGCCAAUCAAAUUAACUGUUUGCACAGCAGGAUACUGUUGCAAUCCUCCCUAAUAGUUAGCAUGUUUUAAGAAGGUAAAUAUUGUUUAUCAUGUGUUGGUGUUCUAGUAUGGUAGGUUCAUAGCUUUUUUAUUUAGAAUCGUUAUGGUUAGUAUACCUACAUGUGUUUUCUUAACUCACUGUAAUCUGUCCACAGGAACAGAAAAGUUCUAGAAUUCAACAAUAUUGGCAGCUAUACUAUGUGCUCACAUAAUCUUGCCUUCUACAAAUUAUCAGAGGCGUGAUUUUCUUCUUACCAUGAAAGCACUACUUGAUACACGCUUUUGCAGGUUAAGUGCAUUGUGGUUAUUGGUCACAGCUGCUGUGGUGGAAUCAGGGAACUCCUCUCUCUGAAGGAAGAUAGACCUCAAACCUAGUAAGUAAUUGUCUUAAUCUUGCUCCAAAUUGAUCUGUCUCCUUUAUCUUUAUUUUACUGGUAAAAACAAAACAUGUAUAGCUGUAUAUGACAAAGAGGUCCAAGCAAAUGAGUUAGUUAAAACUUGACUCAAGCAGUUUGUACAGUACUAAUAUCUAAAGCUUCUAUGACAUCGUGUCUUUCACUCUUGUUCUAAUAAGUUGUCCUCUUUUCAUUUUAUCUCUUAGCCACUUCAUUGACAAUUGGGUCAAGAUCGGUCUGGCUAUCAAGAAAAAGGUGGAGCGAGAACAUGCCUUAUUGUCUUUUGAUGACCAAUGCACCAUGUUGGAAAUUGUGAGUAUUAAAAAAGUUGGUUUUCAGUACUUCAGUUUGGUGAUUUAUCUCACUGCUAACCACAGUGACUGAAAUUUCCCACAUGUACUAGUAGUUGUUUCCCAAUCAGAUUAGACACUGAUGUGGCAUUGUUUGCAUUUCUGAAUGCUGUGCAGGAGGCCGUCAAUUUGUCCCUUAGAAACCUGACGACCUACCCAUUCGUCAAGGACAAAUUGGGCAAGGGAACGCUCAAGCUGAUUGGUGCUCGCUACGACUUUGUCCAUGGCAGCUUCCAGACGUGGCAUGCCUGACAGCUGAGGUUAUGAAAAUGGCGCCAAUGUGUGUUGUAUAUAAAGAGUUAUCGACGUGGCAUUGCUCAGUAUGCAUGCAAAGGUGUUCUUUGUUUCAAGUUGAACAGCAAGUACAAGGGGGUGCGAUUCUAAUGUGCUGUGUGCACUCCAUACUUUGUAUUACGGGUGUAGAAAAAUAUUUCUACUCACGCUGGAGAUGAAAACUUGGCCCCGGUGUGCAGUUUUUAAUGGAUUCGGAACGUGUCUGAUUAAAGCUUGAUCUAUUUUUAGGGAAACUUUCAGGCCAGUCCCUGUUAUUCUGGAGAAGUUUUUACAUGUACGUGAUAACGUGAAUCCCAGUUGUCCGUGUCCACAUCUGGAGCAAGGUAAAAUGCUGUAUUUGAAAAGCGUGGAUGUGAGCUAAUACCUCUGGAAAAGCGUGGAUACUUGCUCAGGCAAGUUCUCAAAAAGAAGAAGAAGAAGAAGCUAGUACCUCUUGGCAAACUGGCAACAGAAACUUGUGAACAACCUGCAUGACUCGGUGCUGUGUUCAGCCUGACCUGAUUGGAUGCAUAUCCCAAUCGAAUUGGCUGAACCGAUUUGGUAUUUUCGCAGCCAAAGGUUGCCGCAGCUUAUAAAUUUUGGACAUCACCUGAGCUGCCCUGCUUCUACGGCAGGCUUGCAGCGGGUCGCAAGGCGGACCAGGAUGCUCGUGCUCGACGUCUGGACACGUCACGGCUACGCUGAGCGAUGACAUAUUGGCAUAUUGCCGCGGCCAGCCGUUGCUCUCUGCGACAGGGUGACCGUGCUGCCGUCGUGCGGAACCUCCCUCAUCUGCGGCAGGGCGGUGCGCGAGCUGCCAGUGCGGCAGUGCCCAGUGCCUCCGAUCCGCCGGAGCGCGGCGCGCCGUCGCGGCUCCCAAAGUUGCCUUUCGCUCGGCCAACGCAAAGGGGGAAACAAAUACACCAACCAGAGAACACGGCCGCAUAUCCCGGCGUUUCCUUUCGCGUCACAGCGUUUAGAACUUAAGCGGAACAAACACCACACGCAUGCGCCCGCGCGCUCUUCCCUCCUCGCCGCCCGUCUCCGCUCCUCCUCCGCCUCCCACCGAUGCGGCCACCGCCGCACCUCGCGGCCCCCUCCGCCGCCGCACCCUCGUCCGCCGCCUCCCACACCGGGCCGUCCCGGCGCCGGCACCGCCACCGCGGCGCGACGACGACGUCCUCCGUCGCCUGCUGCCGCGUCGCGGCGCUCGCGUGCCUCCUCGCGGCGGGCGCGGCCACGGCGCUGCUCACCCUCUCCCUGCCCUCCACGCCCGGCGCGUCCACCACAACAACAACUGACUUCACCGUACGAUUGUCAGUCGCGAACCAGCCGCCGCCACCAACGCAUUUGCCAGCGCCUCCGGCACCCGCCACGCCGCCCCCUCCGCCGCCGUCCCCGCCCGCCGUGAGGCGUCGAAAGCGAGAGGUGAGGCAGAGCUGGCGUGUUCCAAGAGUCAGUUUCUUCGCUCGUAGUGAUCUCAAUCCAUUCGCGUUCGCCCGUGUUGUUUUUUGGAUCAGCCGUCGUACUGGAGGAUGGCGCCGGAGGAGGCGCUUCGGUACGCCAAGAGGGAGAUACGCGACGCUGAGCCGGCGCUCGACGACCCUGACCUGUACGCGCCUCUGUUCAAGAACGUCUCCCAGUUCAAGAGGUAAAACCGGCGGUUCUCAUCCAAGCAAUUGUGGACGCAUGCGGUGCUUCUUCCCUUCCUCCGAAAAUGGAGGAGCUUCCAACUUUUUCGCGUGUUUUUUUGGCAUGUUCCUUGCAUAAUCGACGCCUGCUAUUGAUUCCAUUUCAUGUUGCCAUUUUUUGCAAAACAUAUCGUGAAUGAACUUUAAAAUUUUCUACGGAUUGCGGCAUUUUGUAUCCCGUGCAUUGACAAAACGCCUAUCAUAAUUGUAGCAAAUGUGAUCAUCAUCCAGGAGCUAUGAACUGAUGGAACGGAUACUCAAAGUUUACAUUUACCAGGACGGCCGGAGGCCCAUCUUCCACACGCCCCCGCUCAGCGGCAUCUACGCCUCCGAGGGCUGGUUCAUGAAGCUCCUCAAGGAGAGCCGCCGGCACGUCGUCGCCGACCCCAGCAAGGCGCACCUCUUCUACCUGCCCUACAGCUCCCAGCAGCUGAGGCUCACGCUCUACGUGCCCGACUCCCACGACCUCAGGCCGCUGUCCGUGUACCUGAGGAACUUCGUCAGAGGCCUCGCCAACAAGUACCCCUUCUGGAAUCGCACCAGAGGGGCCGACCAUUUCCUCGUCGCCUGCCACGAUUGGGUAAUACAUUAUAAGCUAAGCUCUCUCGAUCAAUACCACUAGAAUUCGAUCAAGCUCAAGAACUGAUCAUCUGAACGUGACCAUUACGUCUUGGGUUCUUGCAGGGACCUUACACGGCGACCUCGCACCGCGACCUCCGUAAGAACGCCAUCAAGGCGCUGUGCAACGCCGACAGCUCGGAGGGGAUCUUCACCCCGGGGAAAGAUGUCUCCCUGCCGGAGACGACCAUCCGGACGCCGAGGCGGCCUCUCCGGUACGUGGGCGGGCUGCCGGUGUCCCGUCGGGGCAUCCUGGCCUUCUUCGCCGGCAACGUGCACGGCAGGGUCCGGCCGGAGCUCCUCAGGCACUGGGGCGACGGGCGGGACGACGACAUGAGGGUGUACAGCCUGCUGCCGAGCAGGGUGUCCCGGCGGAUGAGCUACAUCCAGCACAUGAAGAACAGCCGCUUCUGCCUGUGCCCCAUGGGGUACGAGGUGAACAGCCCCCGGAUCGUGGAGGCGCUCUACUACGAGUGCGUGCCGGUGAUCAUCGCCGACAACUUCGUGCUGCCGCUGAGCGAGGUGCUGGACUGGAGCGCCUUCUCGGUGGUGGUCGCCGAGAAGGACAUACCGGACCUCAAGAGGAUCCUGCAGGGGAUCCCGCUCCGGAGGUACGUGGCCAUGCACGGCUGCGUGAAGCGGCUGCAGCGGCACUUCCUGUGGCACGCCAGGCCGAUUAAGUACGACCUCUUCCACAUGAUCCUGCACUCCAUCUGGUUGAGCAGAGUGAACCAGGUGGAGCUCGACGGCUGAAUUAUAGAAGACAUCGCUUAGGUUCUUGAGAUGCUUGUUGAGAGAUAUUUUUAGGGAUCGUCCCUUGAUUGAGCUUGGUUCAGUACAAAGUCUGUAAACAGAGGCAGGCUACAUUUCUUGGCAACUUCACUGCACCAAAAAAGGAGUGUCACAUGCAGCCGAGCUGCAACAGAACGACAAGGACGUAUCAUCUGACGUGCGUAGCUCGAUCUGACGUAUUACAGCGCAAUGACCGGUUAAGCACAGAAAAUUGACAUUGGAGAUGGCUGACAUGAACUAGUAGUAUAGAAACCUCUGCUGCUCUGCAUUCUAUAGCCCCUGAUAAAGCGUACUAAUUGAUGGCCCAGUACCAAAAGCAGCGUGUCGGAUGUAUACCUCCGGCUAAUCCGCAGCAAUAUUUACUCCAAAAUUGUACAACCGGUACUGGAUUCCAACAAAUCAACAAUGGCAUGGCGCGAUCACCCUACCCUGUCAGGCUCAGACCAUGCUGAAGAGAUUGGCCGUGGAGAUGAGCGCGUUGAGAGCGAGCAUGAGGAACCCGAUGAACGACAGCCACAGGGCGCUGCUGAUCUUCCUGUUGAAGGCGUCCGUGCCGAACCUCGACACCCACAGGUCGUUGCGAGACGCGGCCGCCGACGACGCCGACAUCAGGAGGUACGCCAGAACCUGCGGCAAGCGGCACGUCGCCGAACGAAGCACCAACGGGUUCAGUCAGUCGAGUCCCUUGUACAUGAGCGGUUUCAGUUCAGGAAUGAGUGGGGGCGGCGCACUGCACUUGCCUGGUCCAGGAACAGGCUGCAGUAGUAGCUUGGCCUGCUCCGGAAUAUGAACGUGGGUGAGAUCAGGCGGCGGAUCUCGCCGAAGGAUUGCGCGAUCGAGUAGGCGCAGACGAUCACGUUCACUGCGACGGCGUACCUGCCAUGAAUUUGCCAAGAACAGGAAUGUAACUUUAUUACUUUACCUUGAGAGAAUGAAAGAAGGGAAACAUCUGAUGAUCUGAAUGGACCGGAUACGAACUUGAACUCGACCAAGUGGUAUGUUAGGUAGAUAGAUAGUUUUUAGGUUGCUAGUUUUUAAAAUAUUCAAAAUCAUUACCCAGUUGCUCGAUUUGGUCCGAUGUGUUGCGCUCAGUUUAAUUUUCUUUUAUUUUCUUCUUUGUUUUUAAGAAAGAAAAUAUUCUUGUACGAGCACAACUCCCGUAACCGUCAGCAACCGGACACGUCCGACGAAACCGGCAAAAAGAAACCGCGGGAGGAGACGGAACGUGUGAGCAAGUGGCGAUCACUGACCUGUACUGCUGGUGGCGGGCGUGGGAGUCGCCGGCCCACCCGGACGUCCGGGCGCUGGCGAUGACUGAGAAGGCCGCGAGGCUGAGCGCCGCCGUGGCCAGCCGCAGCGUCACCGACAGCGGCCUCCUCUCCCCGACCGCGGCCACGGCCGCCACGUCGGGGGGCACCGAUCCCCCGUUCUCCGCCGCCGCCGCCGCCGCGUGCUGCUGUCGCUGCUGCUGGCGGUGGUCGAGCUGCGGCUUGCCGAGGCGCAGCGGCGACGUGACUGCCUCCUCUGCGGGGUCGAAGUGUGGCACCGCGAUCGCCGGUGCGGCUGCAGGCGACAGCGGCGGCUUCCAGGUCUCCGCGCGCUGCUUGGGCGUGCUCUGGCCGCUCUUGUUGUUGAUGUUGGCCGCGGGCGCCGGAGUCAGCGGCGAGGGCGGCGUGGGCGACGGCGACGGGGACGGGGACUUGGUCGCGAGCGACCCCUGCGACGGCGUCCGGAGGAGCCCCGUCGCUAGGCGGAGCUGCGGGCGGGCCGGCGCCGCAGCCCCCGCAGCGCCCCCUUCUUGCCCGUUCUUGGCGGAGGGGGAGGCGGGCGGCGGCAGGAGGUGCGGCGUGGGGAGGCGCACGGGCGAGAGCGGCGGGCUCUUGGCGGGCGCCCCACCUCUCCCGUCGCGGGGCAAGCUGGCCUGCUCCCGCGGCGACGCGUCGAGCGACGGGCUCCUGGUGGGCAUUCCUCCUCCCCUCCCGUCGCUGGGGAAACUUGCCUGCUCCCGCGGCGACGCGUCGAGCGACGGGCUCCUGGUGGGCGUUCCUCCUCCCCUCCCGUCGCUGGGGAAACUUGCUUGCUCCCGCGGAGACGCGUCGAGCGGCGGGCUCCUGGCGGGCGCCCAUCCCUUCCCGUCGCUGGGCAAGCAGGCCUCCUCCCGCGGCGACGAGUCGAACGACGGGUUCCUGGUGGGCGUUCCUCCUCCCCUCCCGUCGCUGGGGAAACUUGCCUGCUCCCGCGGCGACGCGUCGAGCGACGGCGGCGGCGUGUGGUACUCCUCCCCGGGCUGCGACGAGGGCGACGGCGACAGGGGCGUCUCCAGAGGCGGAGGAGGAGCGGGAGCGGGCACGGGCGGCGGCGGCCUCUCCGGCGCCGGCGUCCGUGGCGUCGACGGCAUGGUGCGACACCGCGCGCGGCGGGUGGACGGGUGGAAGGAAGGGAUCAAGCGAGGAAGGGUCAGGGGAGGAGUGGCCGUGUUAUGUAUGUGAGGUUACGUGUAGCUUUCCCAUGUUUAUGCGCUUCCUUCCUUCCGUCGCCGGUCGCCCCCCCUAUCUCUCCCUCCCUCGCGCUUUGCUCUGCAACCUUUUCACCGCCGCCGAUCCAUCCGUUGCUGCCUCCGCGCAGAGCACUCCAAGCCGCAGCAGCAGUUAGCCAGUUACAAAUUACAAUCUUGUCAGUGGCCGCAGAAACGGCGUUGUGCCGUGCCACGCCAAUAAAACCGAACACGAUCAUCUCGAUUGCGUCGGGAAUCAUGGCCGUUCCCUUUCCCCUGAUUUCGGGUUCAUGCAAGGUGACACGGAUCGAGGGGAGGAGACACAGGUCAAUUAGAAACGUUGGUCGCGACAUCAUGCUUGAUUUUGCUGGGCUGGCAUCGCAGAAUCAUGGCGCGAUGGCCAUCCUAAAAAAUAAUUGCGGUGUCCACGUCGUCGGUUGGCGACUGGGAACCGUCUUUGCUGGGGCACACAAAUGGGCAGUCAACCUAUCAUAUUCUUGGCGGCUCUUGUUUCGUUUGCACAAGUUGGAGAGGGAGUAGGGUAGGGCGGAAGACCUAUCUGGAAAUACAGGCAGACACCAUGCAUGAUCAUCCAGCUUAAUCGAACCGCGUCAUCAGCAAAUGAGGUAGUUGUCGAUUCCCUUUUGCUGGCUUCACAUGAACGCUACGGAGCUUGAAAACAACAUCUGUCUUGCAGAACCCCACUGGUCUUCAAUUUCUAACACCCAAGUAGCAUCAACUACCAUAUUCUUGGGGGAACAAAACAUAUCUGCACAGGAACACAGCAUAUAUGCAGGAAUUAUGUAUAGGUGCCUUGAAUGAGGUUUCGUGGAGGAUCUUGGGCCAUGAAAAGGAUGGGGCUACGCUAAUUUAGGCACAAGAAAAGAAUUAGGUUCAAAGUGGGACCUGAUGUUAGAACGUCGCAGCCAGCGCAUUGCUAUCGUCGCGAGGCAGCAGAAUAUUCUCACUAAUUCACAUGAAUUUCGAACGCGACGAAUUCACAUGAAUUUCGCAGAACAGCAGUUCGUUUUACACGUGAACGUGUCGUGUGCAAAUAUGUCUCCAACUUGACAAAGAUUUCCCACGAAAGAAAAACAAAACAAAAGCAUCAUUCAGUCAGCCAGUAAUGCACUAGUGCUGCGGCGGAACGUGGAAUAUCCGGGGCUCCCGGUAAAGGCAGAGCGCGAGCGUGUAGCGUGUCUACCAGUUCGGCAGCAGCUUAGUGCUAAAGACGCCCAUGAUGCGCAGCGUGAUGGAGUUGCUUUUGGGAAAAGGAGGCGCUUUGAUCCGGUGGGGGCUUGUGCUAGAUUUUUCCGCUUUCCUUUUUUUCCCCUUUACCUUCUAGGGUGGCCAGGUGAGUUGGUGCCAUGCACACCUUAGUGGUUAAGGUAUCUCACUCAGGCAAGCCAAACCUUGUAGGCCUUCAGAUUCUUUUCUGCCAUUCCUGAUCACCGAUCCAUAGAAGCUUUUCGAAUCACCAGUAACAACAGAAUUUAGCUUUGGCGACUCAGAUCGCAGAAUGAGCUACGCGGAAACGCCAAAUGUCACGAACCCAAAGCUGCACGACGCAAUGCUUUGUAGCUUUAAGCUUUCUUGAGCCGCACGGCGUUGGUAAGGUAUCAGAGUGCAAACUGCAACAACUUGCUACUCCCUCCGUUCCUCCGUUCCAAAUUGUAGAUCGUUUUAGCUUUUAAGGUUUAUAAAUAUUAUUAAGCAUCUAGAUACUGUGUACGUCUAGGUGCAUAAUAAAAUCUAUGAACCUAGAAAAGUUAAAACGACCUACAAUUUGGAACGGAAAGAGUACAAUCUUAUAUGCUGAACCAGCUGCGAGAAAUACCCAGUUUAUAAUAUUCUUAUCAAAUGCUCGAUUAGGAUACAGUGAUACACCACGAGUCAGCAGAAGCAUCACCAUGUCAAAAUGUGUUCUUACGUAUCCAGGCUCAGAUGAAGACCAGGUUCAGAUGAAGACCCACCACGUUGAUUAAAUUUCGCGAAAUCAGAGCAGUCUCCAGAGAUGGCAUAACUUCAACUUACUACACCUGCAUCAUCGAAUCUUCAUCCCGGACCAGUUACUUGUGUUCAUCAAGUUGCUAAUGACUGUACUGUUUAGCAUCACAAGGCGACCUGAAAUUUCUCGGGUACACGGAGCAGAGGUAGCUGAUAGUCUCCAGGCUCUCCUAGCUGCCCGCACGCAGCCAUUUGAUCAUCCCCUCUGCUGAGCCGAACAAAAACUAUAAGGCCACCUUGAAUUAAAACAUUGCGGAACUCGAGUAUCUUCUCAUCGGGUGUGGGCUUGAAUUGGGAACCACUGUGGGGAUUGAAAGAAAUGAGGUUGAUCUUGCAAGGGAUCCCUUGGACAAGCUCUAUAAGCCUCUUCGCAUCAUCCAUACUGCAAGGACAGUUAAUCCAGCAGAAAGUGUCCAAUUUAGGUCAAGCAGAAACUUAGUUAACUGUGAUAACUUCAAAAAGGCUCAUACUGAAAAGGAUUCAGUUUGCCUAUGGAUUAAUGGUAACACUAGGUUAAUACAAAAAAGAAAAAGAAGAUCCAAUGUUUCAAUUCGUCUACCAAGCUAAUGAUUACAAAAACAACAUGAACUACAGACUGUGACUACUGACUAGUAGGCCUAAAUGUAUGGUUUGACCAAAUAGGAAAAGAAAAGCUUUCUGACUAAAAGGAAAAACGUCGGCCUUUUGCAAGUGUUAAAGAAAAAUGCAUGCAGACCUUGACACUUAACAGAAAGGGGAUUUUAUAUGUAACCUAUGCUAGUAGAUUCAUGAUAUACCACUAAGCCCCCAUAGGCGGAGAAUUAAGAUACUGCUUAACAGAAAGGGGAUUUAUAUGCAACCUAUGAUAAUAGAUUCAUAAUAUAUGACUAGACAGAUAAAGUAGGCAAAGACACUCUUCAGCAUAUUUCUCACCUGUCGUUCACUCCAGAAAGCAUGACAUAUUCAAAUAGAACUCUGUAAUUCUUUCUGAGGCAGACUUCCUCCCUUAAGGUGCCAAGAAGCAAGUUAAGAUUGUACUUUCUGUUUAUGGGCAUUAUCCAGUUUCUAACCUGCAAAACAAGUUUAUUUACAUAUCAGCAAAAAAAAAUGGCAAACCAAAAAAAAA